CAUCAUUGAUGAUGUUAUGUUACGGGUACAAAAUAAUGUUAUAAAUUCUUUAUAAAUAAUACAGUAUAAAAUAUAAUAGUUUUCCAAAAUAAAAUCAAGUAGCUACUAUUCCAUUUACAGAUCCCACCAACUCUCUCCUAACAUCCCCAAAACACUAAACCCAAUUCCCCCUCCCCAGCUCUUAAAUACUAAACUCUAAACCCGAAUCACUAAACCCAAACC
This 222-nucleotide long non-coding RNA is filed under the name Brassica napus (rape). RNAcentral describes it as "long non-coding RNA (BNAP_LNC000334)". Lineage: Eukaryota; Viridiplantae; Streptophyta; Magnoliopsida; Brassicales; Brassicaceae. The record is from RNAcentral.